This 57-nucleotide transfer RNA is filed under the name Pirata subpiraticus. Its description in RNAcentral is "tRNA-Met". Lineage: Eukaryota; Metazoa; Arthropoda; Arachnida; Araneae; Lycosidae. The record is from RNAcentral.
UUAUGAUCAGCUAAUAAAGCUAAUGAGUUCAUACCUCAUAAAUGAAUUUAUUUUUAU